CAGCCGCCGCGGGAAAACGGAGGGUGCAAGCGUUAAUCGGAAUUACUGGGCGUAAAGCGCACGCAGGCGGUCUGGCAAGUCAGAUGUGUAAUCCCCGGGCUUAACCUGGGAACUGCAUUUGAAACUGUCAGGCUGGAGUCUUGUAGAGGGGGGUGGAAUUCCAGGUGUAGCGGUGAAAUGCGUAGAGAUCGGAAGGAACAUCUGUGGCGAAGGCGACUAUCUGGGCCAACACUGACACUGAGGCACGAAAGCGUGGGGAGCAAACAGGAUUAGAUACCCCGGUAGUCCCUGUCUCUUAUAC
This 301-nucleotide ribosomal RNA is filed under the name uncultured bacterium. RNAcentral's name for it is "partial 16S ribosomal RNA". It matches the Rfam family "Bacterial small subunit ribosomal RNA", at positions 509 to 807 of the family's 1533-position model. The record is from RNAcentral.